RNAcentral lists this ribosomal RNA (501 nucleotides) under uncultured bacterium. Its description in RNAcentral is "partial 16S ribosomal RNA". It matches the Rfam family "Bacterial small subunit ribosomal RNA", at positions 30 to 523 of the family's 1533-position model. The record is from RNAcentral.
AUUGAACGCUGGCGGCAUGCCUUACACAUGCAAGUCGAACGGCAGCACGGGUGCUUGCACCUGGUGGCGAGUGGCGAACGGGUGAGUAAUACAUCGGAACGUACCUUAUCGUGGGGGAUAACGCAGCGAAAGUUGCGCUAAUACCGCAUACGCCCUGAGGGGGAAAGCGGGGGACCGUAAGGCCUCGCGCGAUUAGAGCGGCCGAUGUCUGAUUAGCUUGUUGGUGAGGUAAAAGCUCACCAAGGCGAUGAUCAGUAGCUGGUCUGAGAGGACGAUCAGCCACACUAGGACUGAGACACGGCCCAGACUCCUACGGGAGGCAGCAGUGGGGAAUUUUGGACAAUGGGGGCAACCCUGAUCCAGCAAUGCCGCGUGAGUGAAGAAGGCCUUCGGGUUGUAAAGCUCUUUUGUCAGGGAAGAAACAGCAGCUCUAAUACAGUCUGCGAAUGACGGUACCUGAAGAAUAAGCACCGGCUAGCUACGUGCCAGCAGCCGCAGUAA